ACGUAGGGUGCGAGCGUUAAUCGGAAUUACUGGGCGUAAAGCGUGCGCAGGCGGUUCUAAAAGACAGAUGUGAAAUCCCCGGGCUCAACCUUGGAACUGCAUUUUUGACUGUCUGACUAGAGUGUGGCAGAGGGGGGUGGAAUUCCACGUGUAGCAGUGAAAUGCGUAGAUAUGUGGAGGAACACCGAUGGCGAAGGCAGCCCCCUGGGCCAAUACUGACGCUCAUGCACGAAAGCGUGGGUAGCAAACAG
RNAcentral lists this ribosomal RNA (251 nucleotides) under uncultured prokaryote. RNAcentral's name for it is "partial 16S rRNA". It matches the Rfam family "Bacterial small subunit ribosomal RNA", at positions 525 to 775 of the family's 1533-position model. The record is from RNAcentral.